GCAGUGAAGCUCAGUGGUAGAGUACUUGCCUAGCGUGCACAAGGCUCUGGGUUCCAUCCCCAGCACCACA
Molecule: transfer RNA, 70 nt
Filed under: Marmota monax (woodchuck)
Lineage: Eukaryota; Metazoa; Chordata; Mammalia; Rodentia; Sciuridae
Description: tRNA.Ala
Rfam family: tRNA
About the family: Transfer RNA (tRNA) molecules are approximately 80 nucleotides in length. Their secondary structure includes four short double-helical elements and three loops (D, anti-codon, and T loops). Further hydrogen bonds mediate the characteristic L-shaped molecular structure. tRNAs have two regions of fundamental functional importance: the anti-codon, which is responsible for specific mRNA codon recognition, and the 3' end, to which the tRNAs corresponding amino acid is attached (by aminoacyl-tRNA synthetases). tRNAs cope with the degeneracy of the genetic code in two manners: having more than one tRNA (with a specific anti-codon) for a particular amino acid; and 'wobble' base-pairing, i.e. permitting non-standard base-pairing at the 3rd anti-codon position.
Source: RNAcentral